GGGUCGCUAGCUCAGCUGGAAGAGCGGCGGACUCUUACUCCGUAGGUCCCCGGUUCGAGCCCGGGGCGGCCCA
Molecule: transfer RNA, 73 nt
Filed under: Variovorax sp. WDL1
Lineage: Bacteria; Pseudomonadati; Pseudomonadota; Betaproteobacteria; Burkholderiales; Comamonadaceae
Also listed under: 1 other name
Description: tRNA-Lys
Rfam family: tRNA
About the family: Transfer RNA (tRNA) molecules are approximately 80 nucleotides in length. Their secondary structure includes four short double-helical elements and three loops (D, anti-codon, and T loops). Further hydrogen bonds mediate the characteristic L-shaped molecular structure. tRNAs have two regions of fundamental functional importance: the anti-codon, which is responsible for specific mRNA codon recognition, and the 3' end, to which the tRNAs corresponding amino acid is attached (by aminoacyl-tRNA synthetases). tRNAs cope with the degeneracy of the genetic code in two manners: having more than one tRNA (with a specific anti-codon) for a particular amino acid; and 'wobble' base-pairing, i.e. permitting non-standard base-pairing at the 3rd anti-codon position.
Source: RNAcentral